This 465-nucleotide ribosomal RNA is filed under the name uncultured bacterium. Its description in RNAcentral is "partial 16S ribosomal RNA". It matches the Rfam family "Bacterial small subunit ribosomal RNA", at positions 28 to 507 of the family's 1533-position model. The record is from RNAcentral.
GAUGAACGCUGGCGGCGUGCUUAAUACAUGCAAGUCGUACGGUCAGGCCCUUUCGGGGGUACACGAGUGGUGACCGGGUGCGUAACACGUGCGUAACCUGAACCCAACUUUGGGAUAACGCUAGGAAACUGGUGCUAAUACUGGAUCUGUGCUCCUGCUGCAAGGUCGGGGUUGGAUAGCUCCGGCGGGUGUGGCUGGACUUGCGGGCUAUCUGCUUGCUGGUGGGGUUGUGUCCUACCAAGGCGGCGACGUGAAGCCGGCCUGAGGGGGUGACCGGCGACAUAGGGACUGACGUGCGGCCCAGACUCCGACGGGAGGCAGCAGUGGGGAAUAUUGCAGAAGGAGCGCAAGGCUGAUGCAGAAGGUCCGCGUGCGGGAUGACGGCGUUCGGAUUGUAAACCGCUUGCAGCAGGAACGAUGCUUUUUGUGACGGUACCUGCAGAAGAAGCACCGGCUAACUACGUG